This 253-nucleotide ribosomal RNA is filed under the name uncultured bacterium. RNAcentral describes it as "partial 16S ribosomal RNA". It matches the Rfam family "Bacterial small subunit ribosomal RNA", at positions 524 to 776 of the family's 1533-position model. The record is from RNAcentral.
UACGUAGGGUGCGAGCGUUAAUCGGAAUUACUGGGCGUAAAGCGUGCGCAGGCGGGCUUUUAAGCCAGACGUGAAAUCCCCGGGCUUAACCUGGGAAUGGCGUUUGGGACUGGGAGUCUGGAGUGCGGCAGAGGAGACUGGAAUUCCUGGUGUAGCAGUGAAAUGCGUAGAUAUCAGGAGGAACACCGAUGGCGAAGGCAGGUCUCUGGGACGGUACUGACGCUGAGACGCGAAAGCGUGGGGAGCGAACAGG